CCUCAUUUUUUGGCUCCACAUAUUAAAGUCCCCUUCCCAUUACACAUUUUCACUUCAAACUUAGCAGUAGACAUGUAAAGAUACACCAAGAUAAUACACAGUACACAAGUUUAGUUUUAAGAACACACAGGGACACACAAUGUGGGGACAAUGGGCAAAUUAGGGGAUCAGGGUCCAAUCAGCAAUGCACUUAUACAAUUUUCUCUAGACAGUAAGCACUUAACACUAAGUAUAAAAGGUAGAAUCACGAAGAAUGGAGAUAUCAAUUUCUACGCCUCAACUGAUUUCUCCAGCAAGGUCUUCCAAUUACACUUCUUCCCAAGACUUCAAGAGUCUUUGGACAAAGACAAAGCACUGAAGGUUUUAUAGCACAAGUUAAAUCAAGGGAAAGAUCAGGAGACCCUACUGUAAAGAAUUACUAAUUACGAAACACAUGAAAGAUCUCACCAAAAGAGUUCGAAAGAACUCAAAUUCCACCAAGCAAUGUUCACUACAGAUUGAAGUAAGUUUCAAAAUCUGGUUUAAUUAAGAAAUCACAAAGCUCCAACAGUCCAAGUUGCUUUGAUAUCACUGAAAAGUCAAGCACCAUUCAAGAAUUAACCAAUAUACAAAAAACCAUUCAUAAAUAGUAAAGUGCAGAAAUAUAAAAAUCGACACAAGUAUUUUUCGACCGUAGCCCCAGAGGUUCAGUGACUACAUCUAACGCUUAAUCCCCUGUUGAGCAUCCGUUAUAAAUGGAUUUGGCAUGGCUGCACUAAAAUAGCCAAAAAUCAGUAACAAGAAUACACAACCGUUCUAGAAAAAAUACAAGAACAAGGUCACAAAGACUUAUCUCAACAAGAUCCACGAAGGAAACUACAAAUCCACGAAGGAUGUGCAUUAUCUAUAUAAAAAUGUUUUAAAACUUUUUUUUGUAUAUGUAGAUUGGUGAACAAAUAAUCUAUCUGCGAAAUGUUUAAUCUGCAAUCCGAGACAAAAUUUGGUUUUUCCCAAAUCCUUUAUCUCAAAUUUAUUUUUCAAAUAAUCAGCAAUUUUGUUGAGCUCGGACUUAACUGAACUCAUAUCCCUUCGAUCAAAGGAAUUGAAUGAGAGGGGGUAGUAAAGUCGGCUGAACACAAACCCAAUUGAAGUGAAACUCUCUUCAGGAAUUCCAAUUAAAUUUAAAUCAUCAACAUAAAAUGUCACAAUUGCAAAUCCAAUAUUUGUUUUCUUUAUGAAAACACAUGGGCAGACAUCAUCAUUUUAAUAACUCUCAUUCAACAAAUAUACGCUAAGGUGAUUAUAUGACAUGCGUCCGGAUUGUUUUAAUCCAUAUGAUGAUAUUUACAAUUUAAUUCAGAACGUGAUUUUCGAGCAUGUAUCAUUUGUUCCUGGCACUUUAAAUCCUUCGGGAACUUCCAUAUAUAUAUAUAUAUAUAUAUAUAUAUGUCACUAUCAAGUGAACCAUUCAAAUAAGUAGUUACUAUAUCCAUAAAGUGCAUAUCAAGCAUUUGUGACACAGUCAAACUAAUAAAAAUCUAAAUGGUGUCCAUUACGGAAGAAUAUGUUUCCUCAUAAUGAAUUCCUGGUUUUUGUGAGAAACAUUGAGUUACUAGUUGAGCUUUGUUCCUUGUACUUUCAUUAUUUUUCAUUUCUCUUUUGUACAAAAACUCAUGUGUAUCCCACAGGGAUUACAUUUUUCGAUGUUCAAACUACAGGUCCUAGCACUUUUUGUUUCACUAAAGAAUUCAAUUCCGCCUGUAUGACUUCUUUCCAUUUGGCUAAUCAUUUCUAUUAUCAUAGUCUUUAACUGACUGCAGUUUAGGAUCCUUAAUUUGCAUAAUAUCAAGAGCCAUAUUAAAGGCAAAAAUAUUGUCUAUAACAACUUUAUUCCAUUCCCAUAAUUUAUGAAAUAACAUAUAAUUUUUUGAAAUUUCAUUAUUUUUGAACACUUGUGGUUCUUCAGGAACCAUAUUUUCAAUAUUUGAUUGAUCAAUCUUUUCUAAUGUUACUUCAUCUAGAGUUUUUAGUUGGUUUUUCUCUUGCACUUUUCUUUUUCAAGAUACAUAAUCUUUUAAACAGAUCAGAGCAGAUUUGAGAUUCAUUUGUCAGAGCAGAUUGUCCAACAAGGACAUCAAUUUUUACUGAAAUAUUUUCUUCUGAUAUAUAUGACUUUCUCACUUUUUUAUGUCAACAAAUAUAUCAGGUAAUUGAUUUGCAACCUUUUUGCAAAUGAAUGAUUUUUUUUCAACCUUUUGCUCACAUUAAUUGCUACAAGGAUCAAAGUGUGAUAAGAUUGUUUCAUUCCAAGAAAUUUUACCUUGUUUUUCAGAAUAUAGUUUUUUCAUCCUAAAGUUGGGAAAGCCAUUUUAACAAAAUGGCAAUCUACAAAACGUACAGAUAAAUUACUCUUUAAAGGUUCAAGAUAUCUAAUAAUAAAUCGUGAAUCAAAACCCACAUAAAUCCUAAGUCUUUAUUGAGGACCCAUUUUAGUACGUUGUGGGGGGUGAAAUCGGAACUUGGACAGCACACCAGAAUUUCGUAGUUGAGAAAUAUCAGGUUCAUGAUCAAAUGCAAAUUGUAAAAGUGAAUAUUGAUAAUAGGCAGUUGAUCUUAGACGAAUCAAUGAUGCAACAUGUAAUAUGGCAUGACCCCAAAACAAAAGUUGGGACUUUUGUUUUCAUAAGUAAUGGUCUAACAAUAAGUUGUAGACGUUUAAUAAACGACUUCACCAAACCAUUUUGUAUAUGAACAUGCGCAACUGAAUAUUUAAUUAUCCCAAUUGAUAUACAAUAAUCAUCGAAUGUUUGUGAUCUAUUUUCACCAUCAUUGUCAAGACAAAUAGUCUUAAUUGGGUAAAUGACAAAUUGUGCUCGUAAUUUUAAGAUUUGAGCAAGUAGUCUAGCAAAGAUUACAUUCCUAUUGGAAAGUAGGCAAACAUGUGAUCAUCUAGUAGAAGAAUCAAUUAAUACAAUAAAAUAACGAAUUACUCCACAUAGUGGAUGUAUUGGCCCAUACAUAUAUCUUCACGAAUUCUUUCCAAGAAAGUUGUAGAUUCAAUAUUGAUAUUUGUAGUUGAAGACCUAAUGACUAACUUGCCUCGCGAACAAGCUACACAUGGAAAAUCAUUAGGUAAAAGAAUCAUUUUGUUCUUUAAAGGAUGUCCAUGUGAGUUGUUUAUUAUUCGACGCAUCAUUAUAACUCUUGAAUGUCCAAGCCGAUCAUGUCAAAGUACAAAAUUUUUGGGUCAAAGAACUUCUGGUUCGUGACAAUAUUUGAUUCAACCAUUUUUAUAAAUGUAUAAUAUAUGCCAGAAGGGAGUGCAUGAAGUUUUUCUUUAAUAUACAUCUGACUAAACACAAAAGAAGUUAUGCAAAAAUGUUUAACAUUAUUUUCUUUCAUCAUCUCAAUAUGAUAUCCAUUGAAGCGGAUAUAUUUAACACUAAGCAAAUUUCUUUUGGAUUUGCUAGAAUAAUGAAUAUCGUCAAUAUAUAAUUUUGCAUUAUUUGAUAAAAUAAUAUAAGCUCUUCUGGAACUUUCAAAGAUAUUCGAUGCACCCAAUAUCGUAUUAACAUUAUUUUUUGCAAAUGAUAAAUUCAAAAAAAAUAUUUUUUCUUAAAGAAUAGUGUACAUAUUUUUACUAUCAACUAAACAAAUAUAUUGAUAAUUUAUCUCGAAUUUUUGAUAUUUGACUUUUGAGCAACGUUACAAUAAACUAAAAUAUAAUUAAUUACGAAGAAUAUGAUUAAAUAUUUUAUAAUCAAAUAGUAAUCAAUCAAGUAGACAGGCUAAUUAAUAUCAAUAUGACAUGAGUUAUAUGUUUUCCUUCAGGGGUAAACAUGAAUUCAAAAUUGAUUUAUUCUUCAAAACAUGUGCUACUUCGAGAAAUGUUAUUAUUUAUUAUUGCCUCUUCUAGAGCAAUAGAUCAAUAUUCUUUUGGAAUAUUAAAAUUGUAAUAUUAUGCUCUUCUCGAGUUUUUUUAGAAUAUUAAUAAUAAUAUUGUGCUUCUUCAAGAGCAAUAAAAUAUUAUUGUUAGAAAUAAUAAAUUAUAUAUUUACUCUUCAGGAGUAAAAACAUAAUUUAUAUUAGAUUUUAUUGAAUUAUGCUCUUCAGGAGGAAGUAAAAUCCAACUAGAAUAUUAAUAAUAAUAUGUUACUUAUUGAGCAACAAUUUUUAUAAUAGAUAGAUAUACGAUUACUAUAGUUGUAAAUCAUACUCAUAUUUAAAAGAAUGAGAACGAGAUAAUUAAUCAAACAAUAAAUAAGAAACAUAUAUAAUAGCAUGUAAUAAAUAAAUAUACCAGUCCAUGCCUUUUCAGUUUCGUGUUUUGUUCCAUAGCUUUAUGGCCUCGUGCUGGGCCAUCUUUCUCAAUCUGAAAGCAAGAUCCAUUGCCAAGGAAUUCGACAUAUAAAAGACACCUAUCAUUCCAGCUGAUCGUUGGCCAAAACUUCCAUGUAAUGAAAUAAUAAAGCAUUAUUUGGCUCUAAAACUUUCUUCUAGUUCUCAUACGACGACAUGUAAUUGCUUCAGCUAAUCGGUAAUCUAAUCCAACAAUCUUUCUCCAACUUUUUUAUUGGAGGCUAAUGUCGAUAGCAAAGAAAUCUAGCCAAAAACAUAUACAGCAACGAGAAAGAGAGUUGUAGAGAUGAGAAGAGGUCAAAAAUACUUAAAAAUAUCAAGAACUUUAGGUGCGAGAUAGAUGAUAAAAACGAAUGAUAAGCAUAAAUUAAUGGCCGAAAGGAUGUGGAAUUUGUAUUUGAGAAGCUUUUCUAGGAUAUCCAUGGCAGAUUUGGGCUACUUUUUUGUAAAAUCAUUAUGGGUUUUGUAAAAG
Molecule: long non-coding RNA, 4810 nt
Filed under: Olea europaea (common olive)
Lineage: Eukaryota; Viridiplantae; Streptophyta; Magnoliopsida; Lamiales; Oleaceae
Description: long non-coding RNA (OEUR_LNC000690)
Source: RNAcentral